Small nucleolar RNA from Scleropages formosus (Asian bonytongue), 239 nucleotides. Ensembl annotates it as small nucleolar RNA SNORA53. Its record names the gene SNORA53. The record is from Ensembl. NCBI's taxonomy places the organism in Eukaryota, Metazoa, Chordata, Actinopteri, Osteoglossiformes, Osteoglossidae.
AACACGUUCCUUAGAUCCACCUCUGGGGGGCACUCCAGUGCUAGAACUGUUGCUCUAUCUGGGUGCAGCAGCUCCAGUCUGGGGGGCUUCCAGCAACUUGCUGGUUGUACAGUUGGAGGUGCUUGAGUCAUUGGCGUGUGAGAGCAGUAUACCUGCCCCCCAGCCCCCCGCUGCACUGGUACCCCAUCAGCUCUGCUGGCAGGAAGUUCCCAGUGCAGCUAGGCUGGGAAGCAGACAUC